UACAGUGUGAUGGACGGCAAUACAUAAUCAUUUGGUACAGUGAAAUUAUGUGCUUAGCUUGGAAUUAUGUUAAGGAAAGGAAUGCUUUUAUCAAGAGUCAGUAGUAUUAUAUCUUUACCAUAUAUUAAGGAAAACAAAGCAAGGUCGUGUUUGUUUUACCAAGGUUGCAACUCAGGCCAGGCAGCUACAGCAGCUGGCCCGAGUCCCCUGUGGAGAUCUUGGCGGAAAUCUCAGAGGUGUUACAAAUAGAGUGGAGAUGCAGCGUGUGGUGUAAAUGUCUGUAAUGGCGGGAAGAGAGACCCCGAUGAUCUUCUCAGCUGACCUCACUAU
Mobula hypostoma (lesser devil ray) is the source of this 330-nucleotide long non-coding RNA. RefSeq lists it as uncharacterized. The transcript is spliced from 3 exons. The record is from RefSeq and is a predicted model, not a curated record. Lineage: Eukaryota; Metazoa; Chordata; Chondrichthyes; Myliobatiformes; Myliobatidae.